UACUACUACUUCGCUUAAUCCCCACCUCAAAUUCGAAACCCUAGCCCCGCUAAGCUUCCUCCGCCGCAGAUUCUCACAAACCCUCUCAGACCCUCACAGCCAUGUCGCACUUCGGACGAUCUGGACCGCCGGACAUCAGAGACACCUACUCGCUCCUUGUUCUCAACAUCACUUUCCGAACCACCGCCGACGAUCUGUUCCCGCUGUUUGAUAAGUACGGGAAGGUCGUCGACGUGUUUAUCCCCCGAGACCGGAGGACCGGCGAUUCGCGCGGCUUCGCUUUUGUGCGGUAUAAGUAUCAGGAUGAGGCGGCCAAGGCCGUGGAUAAGCUCGACGGGAGAGUUGUGGAUGGGAGAGAGAUUAUGGUUCAGUUUGCUAAGUAUGGUCCAAAUGCUGAGAGGAUCUCCAGUCACAAGGGAAAGAUAAGUGAAUCUUCCUCCAAGUUGAAAAGCAGCAGGUCAAGAAGCCGUAGCCCUCGUCCAAGGUAUCGAGAUGAAUAUAAGGAUAGGGAUUACAAGAGGAGAAGUCGCAGUCGAAGUAGGGACAGAUAUGACCGUGACAGGCACCAUAGGAGUGAAAGAGAGCAUCGCUACAGAAGCAGGAGCCGCAGUGCAAGUCCUGAUAAUCGUAAAAGGAGCAAAUAUGAUGACGAGCGGCGUAGUCGGAGCCGGUCCUAUGGAAGUGUCUCACCUGCUCGGCCUAGCUCUAAAUCUCGAAGGAGCCUCUCUCCUCGUAGGACACCUCCAAGGAGUGAGAGUCCUGAUGCACGCCAUCGUAAUGACCGCUCUCCUACCCCCAAAGAUGUCUCACCACAGGCUCGGCGUGAAGAUUCUCUAAGUCCUCGUAAAUCUGAUGCUGAUGAAUGAUGGGUUUGCUUAUCAUGUGACCUGGGGUUCUAUCCAUGUCUUGAGACCUUCUGUUUACAUCCUUGGAAAGUUGAGUUUCAUGUACGAUCAACAUGUUGAAUGUUUGCAUUUGACUGCCCUGCAGUUUUGUUGAAGGUUAAAACAUUUCUUUGUUGGACUAUGAUGUUCGUGAACAUUGCUGAUUGAAGAGAUGCUGUACUAGCUAGCUGUUGGUGCUAUUUUAACUACGGAAAUGGUAGAUGUCAAUGUGUCAUGUUGAUGCUGAAUGAAGUCGGGUCUUACCUGUUUUGCUUUGAUGAAACUCUGGUUGGUGAUGUUUGGGAGGAGUGAACAUUGCUGGUGGUGCUAUUUUGCCACAGAUAUGGUAGAUGUCAAUUCAUGUUCAUGCUGAUUGCAGUCUGGUCUUAGCUGUUUUGCUUUGAUGAAACUCUUUCGUUUGAUCCUGCAAAGGAACUCUCGAUGCUGUGGUUGCCUAAACUUGGUCGGAAUUCAGGUGCCAUUGCAUGUAGCUGAUGCAGUUUAUAUGAAAAUGUCAUUUUUGUUUUAUUUUUGGAAAAGAGGGGUGGGUUUUAGGGGAGUGGGCCUAACUCUGGCUGGCUGCCCCUGCAAUUAUAGGUUUGGUCUAUAAUUGCGAGUCAUGCCAUGAAUGGGGCAGGAUUAUAUACAUAGAAAAAUACUGCACAAUUUUUCAAAUGCACGCUGCAAAAUGAAGUGUUAUGCUGUGUGAAAGUUAUUCUAAUACCGCAAGGUAACCAUGUAUAAUAAUUUAUUGAAUA
Molecule: RNA transcript, 1642 nt
Organism: Rosa chinensis
Lineage: Eukaryota; Viridiplantae; Streptophyta; Magnoliopsida; Rosales; Rosaceae
Gene name: serine/arginine-rich splicing factor SC35
Exons: 9
Source: RefSeq, a predicted model, not a curated record